This 528-nucleotide ribosomal RNA is filed under the name Yarrowia lipolytica. Its description in RNAcentral is "eukaryotic LSU rRNA". It matches the Rfam family "Eukaryotic large subunit ribosomal RNA", at positions 48 to 657 of the family's 3401-position model. Lineage: Eukaryota; Fungi; Ascomycota; Dipodascomycetes; Dipodascales. The record is from RNAcentral.
UAGCGGAGGAAAAGAAACCAACAGGGAUUGCCUCAGUAACGGCGAGUGAAGCGGCAAAAGCUCAAAUUUGAAACCCUCGGGAUUGUAAUUUGAAGAUUUGGCAUUGGAGAAAGCUAACCCAAGUUGCUUGGAAUAGUACGUCAUAGAGGGUGACAACCCCGUCUGGCUAACCGUUCUCCAUGUAUUGCCUUAUCAAAGAGUCGAGUUGUUUGGGAAUGCAGCUCAAAGUGGGUGGUAAACUCCAUCUAAAGCUAAAUACUGGUGAGAGACCGAUAGCGAACAAGUACUGUGAAGGAAAGGUGAAAAGAACUUUGAAAAGAGAGUGAAAUAGUAUGUGAAAUUGUUGAUAGGGAAGGAAAUGAGUGGAGAGUGGCCGAGGUUUCAGCCGCCCCUCGUGGGCGGUGUACUGCCGACGCCGAGUCAUCGAUAGCGAGACGAGGGUUACAAAUGGGAGCGCCUUUCGGGCGUUCUCCCCUAACCCUCCACACUGCCACCGACGACAUAAUCCACCCAUUUCACCCGUCUUGA